This 215-nucleotide ribosomal RNA is filed under the name Glomeromycotina sp. 8536. Its description in RNAcentral is "partial small subunit ribosomal RNA". The stretch from base 38 to 215 matches the Rfam family "Eukaryotic small subunit ribosomal RNA", at positions 685 to 864 of the family's 1831-position model. Lineage: Eukaryota; Fungi; Glomeromycota. The record is from RNAcentral.
GGACCAAUAUGUCGGUCGUGCUUCGGUACGUACUGGCAUUAUUGGUUUCUCCCUUCUGAAGAACCUUGAUGUCAUUAAUUUGGUGUCUUGGGGAAUCAGGACUGUUACUUUGAAAAAAUUAGAGUGUUUAAAGCAGGCUCACGCUUGAAUACAUUAGCAUGGAAUAAUGAAAUAGGACGUUUGAUUCUAUUUUGUUGGUUUCUAGGAUCGACGUA